CCGCUGUUGCCUGACGAGCUUCUGCCGCCUCCGGCUGCAAACGAGCAAUCGCCUCCCAUUGCCACAAAGGCCGGGAAUUAGCAGCGGACGAUAUAGCCUCUACGGCCGACCAAAGCAACAGCAACCGCAGAGGCUGUUUUAUAAUCUGAUUCAUCUGAAAUGUCUAAGGCAGUGGCUUAGAAAGAAGUGAUAUGCCUACCAAACUCCAAUUAUCAUACAUGAAGAGGUUCUCCACAUCUACCACCAUCCCCAGAAGACGGUUGAUCUCUUCCUCAGAGACAUUCUCCAGAUGAGAGACAUGGUCAGCUAAAAGCAGCUUAAACAUUCAGAAUUCUCAGCCAAGGACUUCCUUCUCUGGCAUUGUCAGGAUUUGAAUUCCAGGCACAGGACCUAACCCCAUUUGGCUACG
Molecule: long non-coding RNA, 409 nt
Organism: Crotalus tigris (Tiger rattlesnake)
Lineage: Eukaryota; Metazoa; Chordata; Lepidosauria; Squamata; Viperidae
Exons: 4
Source: RefSeq, a predicted model, not a curated record